This 71-nucleotide transfer RNA is filed under the name chicken gut metagenome. It matches the Rfam family "tRNA". Rfam says of the family: Transfer RNA (tRNA) molecules are approximately 80 nucleotides in length. Their secondary structure includes four short double-helical elements and three loops (D, anti-codon, and T loops). The record is from RNAcentral.
GUAUAUAGCUCAGUAGGAUAGAGCGUCCCCCUCCUAAGGGGAAGGCCGCAGGUUCGAUUCCUGCUAUGCGC